AACCUUGGCAAUAGGCAAAGAGACACCUUGUUGCUGGUAUUGUUCUUAUAUCAGUCAGAGGUAGAGCAGAUGAACGUCCUUUGUUCAUCCUAGCUUGAUGCCUGGCUUGGUGAACAAAGCUGUUUUAUGCCUAGGAAACACAA
Small nucleolar RNA from Arvicanthis niloticus (Nile rat), 143 nucleotides. RefSeq annotates it as small nucleolar RNA SNORA48. The record is from RefSeq and is a predicted model, not a curated record. Lineage: Eukaryota; Metazoa; Chordata; Mammalia; Rodentia; Muridae.